AGCCUUUGUGCUGUCCAUUCACUUUUGGAAGCUUGCCGAUGUGGUGUCAAAAAAGCUGCAAAUUAAACUCUUUGCUGCCAUUUUCUGCCCUUGAAUUUGGUGUCUUUGGUGUUGGGGCUGCAUCAGAUACAGCU
Molecule: small nucleolar RNA, 134 nt
Organism: Loxodonta africana (African savanna elephant)
Lineage: Eukaryota; Metazoa; Chordata; Mammalia; Proboscidea; Elephantidae
Product: small nucleolar RNA SNORA13
Source: Ensembl